UUUCUUAGGGCUUCUACUGUUGUGAUAAAAACAAUUUGGGGAGGGAAGGGGUUAUUUCAUCUUACCACCCUGGGAUCACAGAGGGUAGUCGGAGCAGGAACUUGGGACAGAUACAGGAACUGGGACUGGUCCAGAAGCCAUCAAGGAACACAGCUUACUGGUUUGCUCAGCUUGCUUUUUUUACACAGCUCAGGACCACCUGUCCAGGGUUGGCUCUAUCCACGCCCUCUGGGCUGGGUCCACCCACAUCAAUCGUAAGUGGAGAAAAUGCACUACAGACUCUGAUGGAGGAGGCAUUCUCUCAACAGAAGUUCCCAGAUAGUUCUAGCUUGGGUCAAAUCGAUCAAAGAACAACCAGGACAAUACCUUUCUUUACUUUGCUCCUUGGGACAGAUCUAACAUAAAGACUUGGUAAUUUGAUACCCAAAGGUCUUGUGUGUGUGUGUGUGUGUGUGUGUGUGUGUGUGUGUGUGUGUGAGAGAGAGAGAGAGAGAGAGAGAGAGAGAAACAGAGAGAGAGAGACAGAGAGAGACAGAGACAGAGAGACAGAGACACAGAGAGAUAGAGAUACAGAUAGAGACAGACAGAGACGCACAGAGAGACACGGAGAGACAGAGAGAAUCCUGUAGCACAAAUUGUACUCAAAAUUUCUGUGUAGCUGAAGAUGACCUUGAACUUCUUCUUUUUUUUUUUUUUUUUUUUUUUCUUUUCUUUUUUUUCAGAGCUGGGGACCGAACCCAGGGCCUUGUGCUUGCUAGGCAAGUGCCCCUACCGCUGAGCUAAAUCCCCAACCCCGACCUUGAACUUCUGAUUGUCCCUCCCCCACCAUCUGAAAUGUGUGCAUCCACACACACUUACUCUAUUAGGUGCUGAGGAUCAAGGCUAGGGCUUUAUGCAUUCAAAGCAAGCACUCUACCAAGUAAGCUACAUCCUCUUCCUUGUUCUGGGUUUUUGAAGUAGGAUUUCAUGUGACCCACUGUGUAGCUGAGGCUGACUUCCUUAGACUCCUGAUGUUCUUGCUGCCUCUCCUGCCAGGUUCUGGGAUAACAGGCAUGUACCACUUACCGCUUCAGGCCAGGAAGAUAUUGAACAGAUAAAAAACGGUUCCACUUCCCCAGCAGUGCCCAGAGGAAUACUCUUCCACAGUAUUCCAAGUCCAAACGAGAUACACCCUGGUCCUCUGCCCGGAUGCCUCUAGUGAUGAGAAAUGGCUACCGAUCUCUCUAAGACACUCAGGUCCUCUGACACGGAGUUUUCCAUCAUAGACACUACGAACGGCUCAACAAGGCUCAACAAGAAUCAUGGGACAUUGGGCUGGAGAGAUGGUUUAUCGGUUAAGAGCACCGACUACUCUUCCAGAGGUCCUGAGUUCAAUUCCCAGCAACCACAUGGUGGUUCACAACCAUCUGUAAUGGGAUCUGAUGCCUGAAGACAGCAACAGUGUACUUAUAUAUAAUAAAUGAAUAAAUCUUUUUUUUUAAAGUGAAAAAUCCAAACAGAGAUUUAAAAAAAAAAAAAAGAAUCACGGGACAUGCAGGA
This is a non-coding RNA of Rattus norvegicus (Norway rat), 1539 nucleotides long. Lineage: Eukaryota; Metazoa; Chordata; Mammalia; Rodentia; Muridae. The record is from RefSeq and is a predicted model, not a curated record.